GUGAGGAAUUUUCCGCAAUGGGCGAAAGCCUGACGGAGCAAUGCCGCGUGAAGGAUGAAGGCCUAUGGGUUGUAAACUUCUUUUCUCAGAAAAGAAUUAUGACGGUAUCUGAGGAAUAAGCAUCGGCUAACUCUGUGCCAGCAGCCGCGGUAAGACAGAGGGUGUAAGCGUUAUCCGGAAUGAUUGGGCGUAAAGCGUCUGUAGGUUGUUUAAAAAGUAUUCUGUCAAAGAUUAGGGCUUAACCCUAGAUAGGCAGAAUAAACUUUUAAGCUAGAGUUUGGUAGAGGCAGAGGGAAUUCCCGGUGGAGCGGUGAAAUGCGUAGAUAUCGGGAGGAACACCAAAGGCGAAGGCACUCUGCUGGGCCAAUACUAACACUGAGAGACGAAAGCGAGGGGAGCAAAUGGGAUUAGAAACCCGGGUAGUCC
Molecule: ribosomal RNA, 426 nt
Filed under: uncultured bacterium
Lineage: Bacteria
Description: partial 16S ribosomal RNA
Rfam family: Bacterial small subunit ribosomal RNA
Source: RNAcentral